GUCAGGAUAGCUCAGUUGGCAGAGCAGAGGACUAGCAGUCCUUGAGUCACCAGUUCAAUUCUGGUUCCUGGCA
Non-coding RNA from Beta vulgaris subsp. vulgaris (sugar beet), 73 nucleotides. NCBI's taxonomy places the organism in Eukaryota, Viridiplantae, Streptophyta, Magnoliopsida, Caryophyllales, Amaranthaceae. The record is from Rfam.